UGCCAAUAAGCAGUGAUCAGUUUCUUUUGUUUGUUUUUCUAUUGUUUACCUACUAUAUUAUUAUUAGAUGAUGACUUACCUCCAAAACGUUUUAAAACUUUCGUUUAUAAUUCUAAGUGUGUUUAUAAUUAAAGAGCUACAGUGAAAUAAAAUGAAUUCUUCAAGAAAGGCAGCACCCAUGACAAAAGAUGAGACGAUGAUUCUAGCAGAACUUGUGGCGGCGAAAAAACAUUUCAAUAAUAAGGCAACAAAUGCCACAAACAAUAAAUUGAAGGAGCAGGCUUGGCAAACCCUUGUAAAUGAUUUUAAUUCGUCGAUUCGUCGUUUCCCACGAACUCCAUCGCAGCUUCGACUAAAAUGGGAAAACUUAAAGAACGCUACGGCAACAUAAGAAACAACCUUAGUAAGGCUGGAGGUGGUAAGGAUUGCAGAUGAAAUUUUGGAUAAAGCAUGCACAUUGUUGUAGGUCACAUAUAAUAUUUUUAACACUUUUACAGCCAAGCGGAAACAAGAUGGAAGAAAAGAAAUGCAAGGCUAGCAUAGGGACAAUGCAUUAGCAGAAUAUCUAAUAGCAAAAAAGAGACUUGACUUGGAAAAUAAAGAAAAGGAGAUUGUUGUAGCAAAAGUUAAGUUAGAUUUAGAUAAUUUAAAAAAUUAAAAACUACUUAAAAGGAAUAUUAAAUUUCAUUAAUUAAGUAGGCAAUAAUAAUUUUAUGUUAGAUAGUUUUUUAAGUAUAUGUACAAAUUCUAAAUUAAAUAUCUUGCAUGUACUAACUACCAUGUAAUUAUCAUUUUGGAAAAUAAAAAAUAGUCAAAUUA
Long non-coding RNA from Bombyx mori (domestic silkworm), 819 nucleotides. RefSeq lists it as uncharacterized. The record is from RefSeq and is a predicted model, not a curated record. NCBI's taxonomy places the organism in Eukaryota, Metazoa, Arthropoda, Insecta, Lepidoptera, Bombycidae. The transcript has 3 exons.